RNAcentral lists this unclassified non-coding RNA (236 nucleotides) under uncultured Hebeloma. RNAcentral's name for it is "sequence contains ITS1". Lineage: Eukaryota; Fungi; Basidiomycota; Agaricomycetes; Agaricales; Cortinariaceae. The record is from RNAcentral.
UUGAAUGAACUUGGUGUGGUUGUUGCUGGCCCUUUCGGGGGUAUGUGCACACCCGCCAUCCUCAUCUCUCCACCUGUGCACCUCUUGUAGACUUGGAUUGACUUUCCGAGGCAACUCGGUCGGGAGGAUUGCUGGCACUAGCUGGCUUUCUUUGCAUUUCCAGGUCUAUGUUUUUCAUAUACCCCAUUGUAUGUAACAGAAUGUAAUAUUGGGCCCUUGUGCCUAUAAACCUUAUA